This 99-nucleotide ribosomal RNA is filed under the name Acanthosepion pharaonis. Lineage: Eukaryota; Metazoa; Mollusca; Cephalopoda; Sepiida; Sepiidae. The record is from RNAcentral.
GUUGAAACACCGAUUUUCGUACGAUCACCGAAGUUAAGCAACGUCGAGCCAGGUCAAUAUCUAGAUAGGCGACCGCUUGAGAAUACCAGGUGUUGUACU